CCUACGGGAGGCAGCAGUGGGGAAUAUUGGGCAAUGGGCGCAAGCCUGACCCAGCAACGCCGCGUGAAGGAAGAAGGCUUUCGGGUUGUAAACUUCUUUUGACAGGGAAGAGCAGAAGACGGUACCUGUCGAAUAAGCCACGGCUAACUACGUGCCAGCAGCCGCGGUAAUACGUAGGUGGCAAGCGUUGUCCGGAUUUACUGGGUGUAAAGGGCGUGUAGCCGGGCUGACAAGUCAGAUGUGAAAUCCGGGGGCUCAACCCCCGAACUGCAGUUGAAACUGUUGGUCUUGAGGAUCGGAGAGGCAGGCGGAAUUCCUAGUGUAGCGGUGAAAGGCGUAGAUAUUAGGAGGAACACCAGUGGCGAAGGCGGCCUGCUGGACGACAACUGACGGUGAGGCCCGAAAGCGUGGGGAGCAAACAGGAUUAGAUACCCCAGUAGUC
Molecule: ribosomal RNA, 442 nt
Filed under: uncultured bacterium
Lineage: Bacteria
Description: partial 16S ribosomal RNA
Rfam family: Bacterial small subunit ribosomal RNA
Source: RNAcentral